RNAcentral lists this transfer RNA (76 nucleotides) under Streptomyces omiyaensis. RNAcentral describes it as "tRNA-Trp". The record is from RNAcentral. Lineage: Bacteria; Bacillati; Actinomycetota; Actinomycetes; Kitasatosporales; Streptomycetaceae.
CUCGGCGAGGGCGGCCUGCUGGACGGCCGCGCCGAUCCAGGUGGCGGCGAUGUCGUUCUGCCCGGUGUCGCCGAGG